GUCCGACGUUUGUCACAAAGUGCAGGUUUGGGACACCACAAAAAUUGUGACGGGGUUAUUGUAGUUUAAAGACACCAAACCUUUUUCUGAAUUAUUUAUUUCUAUGGUAUAUCUCUUUGACUUAUAAGUUUUGACAUCCGAGUUUUGAUUAUUCUUUGGUAUCUUCCAUCUUUUUUUACUUGUAUCAGUUUUGCGUAUCAUAUUAGUAUCUUCUGUCAAUAAAAAUUAGAGAGAUGUGGUGUGAUACCAAUGAGACAGAUCUCUACAAGAGACCAAAUGACAUCGAACAUGAAAAGUUAUCAACCAUAUUUUGUUUAUUAUUUUCGUUUUAAAAAAAUGUGGAAUUUUAGGCUCAUUCAGAUUUUGAAUUUUCCGUUCAGGUCCGAGUUUUGACACCCCAACAAUAUUUUUCACAUAUUUUUUUUUAUAUUAUCAUUAAAUUGAACUUUUUGUGUCACAAAAUCAAAAGUUGAAAGAUAUCCAUUGAAUAUUAAAAAAGUUAUUGUAGUUAGAAUUAGUCCGACAUAGAUUUUCAGGUCCCUUC
This 544-nucleotide long non-coding RNA is filed under the name Mytilus galloprovincialis (Mediterranean mussel). Lineage: Eukaryota; Metazoa; Mollusca; Bivalvia; Mytilida; Mytilidae. The record is from RNAcentral.